AAGUACUAGUCCAACCCUUUAACCUACAGCUUAAUUGCAGAAACCUUAUGAGCCCUCAAACUGAUAUAUAUUGUCGAAUCUUGAUAAGAAGAAGCAAAGGAGAGAAAAGGGGUUUUCCAGGAAUAAAAGAAAAUGAAAAUGAAUACCUUGAAAACGGCAUAAUUAGAAAACAACAUGCUCAGUUAGUAAGCAAUAAAGAAUAUUUAGUUUAAAUGACAGGAAGGAAGUCUAAUUCAUUAUGCACUCCUUUGUGCUAAUAGGAACCAUUUCAUAGUCGAGCAUACCAACAAUCAGAAACAGAAACUUAUAUAAUAUCCAAGGCAACACCAAUGUUCGUGAAGAGAAUUCAGAAUUAUGAACAGCCAAAAACAAAACUUGAAAAUAACCUACAUAAAAGCGUUCAAUGUUAUAUUUCAUAUUUACUCCAGGCUAAUGUUAUUUUCUCCACCAAUUUUAAAAACAUUGAGCAUGACUAACUAUCCACAGAAGCAAGUAAGAAAACGAAAUUCUAAAUUCCACAAAAGAAACCAACUACUGCAAAACUUGAAAGCAUCAGGAAUAACCAUUCUCUUGUCUUAUCAUAUGGUGCAAGAAUCCCCUCAUAAGCCUUCAAUUCACACCAGCGAAAGCUGCCACUCCAUGCUUAGUCUUUGCAAAGAAUCAUCCUGCAAUCAAAGCAAAUAUCAAUUACCAUAAGGACAGUCAAAAUGAAGCCCAGUUAUAUACUCCAUAUAUGCUGAAGCCAAACACAUUGCCUUUGCACCAUAAGAUUCAUAGACCUUGUCAGCUAUUAGUUUUCUCUCAAUCCAACAAUAAUAACCUCAAGCACACUCAUUCUACUCUCUUUCAAUUCGUCCCUACAUUUUACCUAUAACCAACUAUAACAAACACACAGAUCUCUAACAAGAAAAACCAAUAGCAAACUCUCAUUAUUAAACAUAAAGCCAAUUUGAUUAGGAAACUACUUUGGAGGAAGAUUGGCAGUAAGUUGCUCAAGUCAAGACUGGGAAACGGAUCUCUAGAUUCAAUUUUGUAACACAUGCAAGUUUACCAAGUCUACCACUCAUUUCACUACACAAAGACACCCUGAAAAUAUUGCAUUCGAUCAUUUCACAAGAAAAUAGAUUGAUAAUCUAAACAUCCAUCAGUAUUGCAAAUGAUAAGCUAGAAUUGGCAGAGAUUUACAGGUCCAUGAUAGAAAGUAAAGCAAUCCAGUAUAAUAGAACCAGAAAGCCUCACAUAGAAAAGAACAUAUAUGAUAUUAAAAUCAAUAAAAACCUGGGAGGAGUUUGUCCCAGCGAAGCGUGUCCUCUUCAUCACCAGUUGAGUACAAAUUAGUAAAAUUUGACUCGAACUCUUCAUCAUCCACAUCGUCUCGUGGUUGCACCUCCAAUUCAUCCAUCAAUUCAUCAUCGGUCUCCUCAUGCUUCCCAGCCAACUUUCUCCGCAAAAUGCCCUCAAGAACUGAAGGGAGUGCCUCUUCAUACCCUUCAAAGUACUUCUUGAUUCGGGUUUUCAGCUCUGGCACCAAAGAACUAACAAAGUUAAACAACAUAACAAAAAAACAAAUUAAAGACUUGUUCAAAAUCGGGCAAGGGUUAGGGAUUCUGAUUUGGGGAAGAGGGGAAAUGGGAAAUGGGGAAAUGGUUGUUAAAGACAUGUUCAGAGAGGGAGCUGGAAAGAGUCGAGUUUUCAGCGCUGGUUGAAAAAGACUGGGAGGGUAAAACAGGACAUAGAAAUUGGGAAGACGUCCGUAAUAGCUAAUCGUCGUUUUGGGAAGGGAAUACAAAAGCAGAGAUUUUGGGGAAUAGGCCGGUAAUGUAAUACGCCCGUAAUAGGCAUACAACGAACCAAACGUCAGAUUAGGUGAGGCGCGCGGAAUAGAUGGGUAAUCGCAUACCCAUUACAACGAACCAAACACGCUGUAAUUGAUUAGCAAUAAUAUUUUUAAAAUUUUGAAUAUUAUAGCUAGGACUUUUGAAAAUCAUAAAAUCAUUUGUUUUUUCGAUAGGUAAAAUCUUAAUAUUUAUACAAAGGAGGAAUUCAAUAAUGGAGUUGCCUUGCGUUAAUAGGAUAGAUAUGCUACAUGUCAAAAAAUUAGGCUGUUUUUGUCAGCUAGAAACCUAAUAUCUUGAAAUAUAUAAAACUAGUUUUUUUAACUGUAUCGCAUAGGUUUAUCGUAUAUAUUAAUUUACAUUUGAUUAUUUCUUAUUCUUUAAAAUUUUGUAAUGUUUCACUAAUAAUGUGAUUAUGAAAUUAAAAUAUAAUAAUAUAUAAAUUUAGUUUUAAUAUAUAUAAUUGAAUGUAAUUUAUUCAAUUAAGUAAUAUAUUAAAUUUCCUAAAUUAUAUAAAUUCAUUUUAAAUAUUCACUAUAUAUAUAUUGUAUUUGUAAAAGUGAUAUAUUUACUAAAAAUUUUAUAGGAUACUUGAAUAUAGUCUAAAAAUUUUGAAGUCAAAUUCAACUCAAAAUUAACGAUUCAUAAAAACUUGAAACUUUUGGUCUUUGUACCAUGGGAAGCUAAUACGGUAGAUCAACCAACAGUUUUCUUUGCCUUUCAUAUUGGACAUUGUUGAUGCAAAGUUUGGUUGGCGGUGGAGUCAAUCGAUUUAUCUCGUUUAGAACAAGACGGAGAGUUGAUAGUGAUGGUCGGAAUAUGAUGAAAAGUGAAUUCCCUCAUAAAAAGUUUGAGAGAGAAAUGAAGAAGACCAAGAAAAACAAAAGACAAAUAAGGAGGAGCCCACCUCAUUUGUCUCAUUUUUUUUAUUUAGGUCUUUGGUAAAUGAUAGCCUAAUAUAUUUAGGUUGUCAUAUGGUACAAGAAUAUGAUCAAUAGAACUUUUAAUAAGAUUGAUUCAUAAAUAUAAUAAAUUUUUGACAAAAAUUUAACUAAUAUCGAUUAUCUUAUCAGCAGUCUAAAUAUCUCUCAAGGGUAUUACUUUAAAAUUUUAAACUAGUAACGUGUUUUACAAUGUCAUCAUCAAUUAAAUACAUCCAAAAAUUUAAUUAUUCUAAAAUAUAAUUAAUACAACGCUUAGGAGUUGUAUACAUUUUACCCAUUUAGUUGUGUAAAAAUAUUCACAAUAUAAUAGUUUUAUUUAAUUUUCAUCUUUAAUUGUUUAAUCUCAUUUGAAAAAAGUAAUAUGUCAUGUAAUAGGCUAAUUUUGGCCUGGCUAAAAUACCAUUUAUGUAGCCCAAAUAAUUCGGCCCAAUAAGGCCUAAAUUGCUAACCCUAAUCUGCUAGCUCAAAAAACACAAAAGGUAUAGUAGAAACUCUAGUAGCCGCCGCAGCAAUCUCACCCUCACACGCUGCCGCAAAUGUCGCGCAUGCACUCCUCCAAGCAUGUACCUGCAAAAGGAAACAAGCAGUAUAGGCAAGAAAAUCAGAAAAUUGCAAAUCAAGCAGAUAAUAGAAUGAUUUUUUUUCCUUUAUUUUCUUGUUUCAUUAUGGCUAUAAAAAGCCAAUUAAAGUCUGUAAAAUGGGGGAUUCAGUGUAAAGAAAUACAAAAAUAGAGAGAAAAAUACUGAGAAUACAAAAGAAAUUUUUCGAAGGUGAAUCGCGUCUUUUUAUUAUUAUUUUUUAUUCAUUUUUUAUUAUUUUAUUUUGUAACAAGAAUAACAUGGGAGAAAGGAGACUUACUCGGUCUUAUCGCGUUCUGCUCCAUUUUCCGUCACGAUCGGAGGCUAGGACGGCGAUUAAAGCCAUGGGGAGUUCUUGAAAACGGCGGCGCGGAAGGGUUGAUAAAAUCCUAAGGAAGCAGUUUCUGCUUCAGGGAAAGGGCAAAAUAUUUUCCCUAAAUUUUUCUUUUUUUAAAAAAAAACUUAAAACAGAAGCGAAACAGCGCCGUUUUGAAGGGGCCAGAUCCGCGCGCCGACCCGACCUGCAAGCAGGGUCCACGAGUUUUGGCCCUAAAUGGGGAAUUUGCGCGUUUGGUCCCCCGUUUUUUCUAUUUGAUUUUAAUGCAGUUAUUUCAUGUACUUUCAAAUUUAGCCAUUUUUUUUGUUUUAAUUUGGUCCAUAGACCAUGUGCAUGCGCCCACUGGAACGGUGCCGUUUGACUAGCGUGGGAAUAUUUCCCUUUUGGUCCUCAUCCUUUCUCGCUCAUUGUGAUUUAGUUUUUUUAUUUUUAAUUUUGGCCCUAAAAUUUUGUUUAGUUUUGAUUUAGUCCCUAUUUGUUAUUAAGUUAUUAUUAUUAUUAUUAUUAUUACUAUAUAUACAUACGCAUAUUUUUUUACAAUAAUAUAUAUACAUACAUUUGUUUAAAAAAAACUUUUAUAAACACAAAUGCACAUAUUAUAUAUAUAUUUUAUUAUUAUUCUAUUUGCAUAACUUUUAUAUACCUAUAUAUACAUUUACGUUUUAUAUACAUAUACAUAUACAUAUUUUUAUUUUUAUUUUAUUUCCUAACUUUUAUAUACAUAUAUAUACACUUUUAUAUUCAGGUUUCAAUUUUUUUUUACUUUGAUAAAUAUGUAUAUACGUAUGUUUUCUUAUAUUAUUCUUCAUAAUUUUUUUAUAUAUAUUUUUUAAAUGAAUUAAUUUCAAUAUAUGUAAUUAUUAUUAUUUGUUUAUAUAUAUAUAUGUAAUCAUCUUUUUAUAAUCUAUAUAUAUGUGUAUAAUUAUUAUUUUUUAUAUAUGUACAUGUAUAUAUUUAUAUAUUUUUUUCUAAUGAAUAUUUUUUACAUUUAUAUAUAUACAUAUAUAUAUCUAUGUUUUUUUAUUUAUUUUCGAAAAUGCUUAAAUACAUACUUAUAUUUUUAACGCAUAUUUUAUAAUUUAUAUAUAUUUUUAUAUAUUUUUCUUUAUUGUAUUAUUUAUUUUGUUUGUAUAAAUUUUAUAAUCCAAAAUUUUAUAUGUAAAUCAUAUGUAUGUCUUUUAUUCUUCAUAAUUUCAAUGUACAUUAUAUACCUUCUUUUCUUUAUUUAUCUUGCUUGCUUUCUUCAUUCGCUAUUUAAUUGUGCUUACAUUUAUUUUUUUUAUUCAUUGGAUAUUUUGCAUGUCAUAGAUUAUUAUUAUUUAUAUAUGUUCAUUUCGUUUAUUUAUUUGUUUAUAUUAUUUCUAUGUCAUUGUCGUAUUUGUCAUUGUGACAUUUAUACAUACAAUAUAACAUUACAUCAUCUUUUUACUCGGGUUUAAAAAUAGAAUUUUUCAAAAUAGAGAUAAUACUCGUAUUUAGGAUUUUCAAGAAAAUUGAGCCCUAACGUAUUGGGUUCCGAUUUUCUUCGUUAAAUCUAACAAUCGAGAAUUGCUCUUCGAUUAAAAAUACUCAUAAAAAACGCAUUGGACGUGACAUAUUGAUUUCUCGAGACAAAGAUUUUUUUAAAGAUAUAUAUAUUAAUAAAGGAAAUAUUCAAUGUUUGGGAUGUUGAGAAAUUGUGCCCUAACGUAUUGGGCUGCGUUUUCGUCAUAAAUCUUAAACAAUUGAAUAUUCUUUUAAAUUUUAUCACACAAAUCUUUUGGACAAACUCAUCUUGAAGAAAUAAAAUAUUGUGCCCUAACGUAUUGGGUGUGAUGUUUUCUGUUUCAAAAUGAGGGAGUCCUAAUAAAUAAUUUAAUUUAAUUAAGGAUCAUAUUUUUAACUCUCGACGUUAAGACAUUAAUUCAUCAAUUUGGUACAAAUUUUUGGGCGUUACGAGGGUGCUCAUCAUUCCUUGAACGUAACUGACUCCCGAACCCGUUUUUCUAAAAAAUUGUAGACCAAAGUCGUUUUAGGUGAUCCAAUCACACCUUAAUAAAAGAUUGGUGGCGACUCUAAAUUUUCAUCGACAACUAUUUUUUGUUUUUAAAAAAACUAAAGAUGGUUUCGACAUGUCAAAUUUGUUAAGUAUAAACGAAUAAGUUAAAAAAAUUGAAGUGUUUAACUUUAGUUUUUUUUUGUAUGAAAAUAAGAUUUAAAUGUUGAAGAAAGCAUAGUUAAUUAUAGUUGUGCUUUAUAGACCUAAUGCCAUUUUUAACAUAAACAGCAGUACAACAAGAGCCAAAACAGUUUUUCUCGGAUGAUGCAGCCCCUUGGCCGCCGUAUUGAUCCUCGUCCUGGGUGGAGCUUGUUGCUCAACGGUACCGUUUUGUUUCAUUGCGGUAUCAUCAUCACCUGUAGGUUGUUCCAUUUCCAUGGGAUUUGGACAUGUUUUUGCGAUGAUUUAAAAUAUUAAAUAUUCAUCACGUUUUGUUUCAUAUGAAUUAGAAUUUAUUAAAUUUGUUGAUAUAUUUUAAAAAUAAUAAAAUUAGUUUAUCAAAUUUUUUAAUAAAAAAACAUAUUGUAAUUAUAAGAAUAUCCAUUAUGUUUUGUUAAAUAUUUUUAUUAACUAUUAAUUCUAUCUGCUUAAAAAACAUAUAUAGUUUUGAAUAUUAUAAUAAUUUUAUAUUUAUGUAUUACGUUUUUAACUUACUUAUAAUUAUAUUAUAAAUAGUAUUUAAUUAAGGUAAAAGUUAUAGUUUGUUUAUAAUAAAUUUAAAUUAAUAAAACAUAUUUAAUUAAGUAGUAUUUUGUAUUAAAUUGUAUGCUUUCACAUUCCUAAUAAGUAAUAUUUUACUUACAAUAACUUUAAUUUAUUGAAAUUAAAAAUUAAAAAUUAAAAUAUUUAUUAUAGUAGUUCUAUUUUUUUUCAACGGUGGUUUUAUUGUUAUUUAUUUAAAAUGGUUAAAAAAGUUAUAAUUCUAUGAGAUAAAUUAUAUCAUUCACAUCCUACAUAUAUUUUUUAAAAUUUAUAAAUUUCUAACUUUAUAUUCUGUAUUUUAAAUAUAUAUAUUUGAAGCUUAUCUUGUGUAUUAUAUUUAAUUUUUGAAAUAAAACAAAAAAAUGUUAUAUUUAAUUUAUUUGUGUGAUAUUCUCAACCUCCUAAUUUUAAAUUUGAAUAUUUUAAAUCUACAAUGAUAGUAUAAUGAUAAAAUGGUGAUAUAAAAUAUAAUUAAAAAAUAAUGUAUUAUAAAGUUAGUAUAUAAAGAAUUGAUAAAAUUUUAAUACAUGCGCGUAUCGACAAAAUAGAAAAUACACUAAAAGCCCCAAAUUGCUUCUAAAUAAAAAAUAAAUAACUCUAAAACUCAAAUCAAAUCCCUAAAUUCUCUUUCUAAUUUCAAUGAAAUGAAAAACCGAAAUGUAACAACCCAAUUUUAAUCGGUGUUGAAAAAAUGCGGUUUCGAAAUUUUAUUUUUGUAAAUUAUGUCCGUAAAAUUGAAAUAGGAGGAAUUUAAGGAGUUGGUAUAAAAAUAUAUUAAAGAUCAGUUAAGUAAUUUAACCGAGAAAAUCAUUAAUUAAGUACAAGAACUAAAUUGUAAAAGUCCAAUCACUAUUAAAUUUUAAUUUAAAAAAUGUUUGAUGACCCAAAGGACCUAAAUGGUUAUUAAACCAUUGUUUUCACAUGUUAGUGGAUGAUUAUGAUAAUCUGCACUUAGCUUACAUGGUAUAAUUAUAAUUUAAAUUAAAGUUUUAAAUUAGUAAAAUUAAGUGGGGUUAAUUAAGUUAAUUAGGAUGUUAAUCAAGUAUACAUAAUAUAAGUUAGUGGAGAGUUAAAAUACAUCAUCUUAUUCCCUCAUUUGUGCCGUCCAACUAAGUGAAAGAAGAGAAGGAUUCAAGCUUCUAGUUUCAUUCGUCCAUUGAAUUUCUUAAGGUAAUCAAGCUAUUUUCUUAAAAAUUUUAUAGAUUUUUAAUUAUGGGAGUUUGAUUUAACUAACUCAUGUGUUAACUUUUUCAAUUAUUCGAUGUUAAGCAAGUUACCAUUAAAGUGUAACGGAUGAAUUUAAGCUUGGAUUUGAAGAGAUUGCUAGUUAGUAAGCUUGGAUUAUGCCAAGGAUUAAGUUAGAAACUAAGCUAAGAUUUAUAGAUAAUUUUGUGAUGUUAGGGGUCAAAUUGAAUAAAUUAAAAAUUGUUAAGAAAUUACGCUAUAGAUUAAAGGUACAAGGUUUCUAAUGAAAGGAUAUAAAAUCAGAUUUUGAUUCGAUGUUAAAUAUUGAAAAAUAUUAGUAUUUCUGAUAUAAAGACUAAAAUGAAUAAAAUACAAAAUAUGUUUGAUUUUAUGUUUUCAUGUGAAUGAGUAAAAACUAAUGUUAUUUUUAUAAUUGAAUUAUCGAACGUAGCUAAAGACGAUUUUGGGUCAUCCCGAGUGAAUGAAAAAACAAGUCAUAGACAAGUAACAAAUACGGAUUGUACUUUCAUGGGUUGAAUUCAAUAUAUAUACACAUAAAUGACUUGUUACAAACUAGUUUAUGUGAGGUAAGCAUCCUAUUUGUCUCAUGAUUCGAUUUGUAUGUGAUGAUUUAAAAUACUGUGAACUGAAUUAAGAUGAGCAUGGUACAAAUGAGUAUUAUGCGAAAUUGUGAUAUGUGAUCAUGAGUAUACAUAUGUUUGGAACAUUGUUUACCCUAUUAACUGUUUUGAGCAGAGUCAGGUAUAGUUGACAUGCCAUAAGAUUAAUGUACGAGAUUUGCUUCAGUUUAUAUUGAUGAGGCAUGGAGCGCAUAUUAUACUUUGGACAUUCCAAUGAGGUUUAUACCGUUGAGGCGCGGAGCCCAAAUUAUAUUCAAGACGUUUCGUUGAGGCACUAAGUGCCAGAUAUAUCGGUGUGAUGGUUGGAUGAUCUGUGUAUUUGUCUUGAGUUCGUGUCCAAUUAAUAGGAAUUAUGAAACCUAUACCAUGCUAUGUGACAUGUGAAAUGAGAUGUUGAUAUUGUAUAAGGUAUCAUGUAUGUUAAUGUUGAUAUUGUAUAAGGUACCAUGGAAGACCUGAUAAGUGAUUCUAUGACUCGUGCAUUUUUAUAGAUGAGGACCCAACAACCUAUGAUGAAGCUAUAAAAUCAAUAUAUGCUAGUUUUCAGAUAGAUGUCAUUAAUGAAGAGCUAGAGUCUAUUAUAUCCAAUCACACUUGGGAACUAGUAGACUUGCCUAGAGGUUUUAGACCUAUUAGAAACAAAUGGGUCUUUAGAAAGAAACUUAGACCAGAUGGGUCAAUAAAUAUAGAGGUAUAAGGCAAGACUAGUUGUAAAAUGGUUCACUUAGAAAUUUGGAGUAGAUUAAUUUGAUACCUACUCUCCUAUGACUAAGAUCUCUACCAUUCGUGUUUUGUUUUCUUUAACUUCCUGUAACACCCCUUAACUUGUAUCUAUCUCCAGAAUGGGGUUACAGAGUAUUACCGUAAUAACAUAACAUAAAACAUACAUUGCACACAUUAAUAAAAUCAUGAAUUUAAAUCAUUUAUUCACAUGUUUAUCGUCUCUUAAUCGAGCCAUUGAGGCCCUAAAAACACUUUAGAAAUAAAUCGGGACUAAAUUGGAAACAUUUGGAAAGUUUAUGAAAAAUUUAGAAAAUUUGGACUGCAGGUGCCACACGGCUGAGACACACGUCCGUGUCUUAGGCAGUGUAACAAUCGAAAUAAGGACACACAGUCAUGUCCUAGCUUGUGUUCGUGUAACUUUCGAAGUUGGGUCACACGGCCAAGCGACAUGCCCGUGUCCUAGGCCGUGUAAUAGCUAGACUUGCAAACCUUGAAACCUACAAGGGACACAUGGCUGUGUUGCGUGGCCAUGUGUCACACAAGGCUGAGUCACAUGCCCAUGUCUCAGGUCAUGUGGACAUGAAAUUUCCCAAAAAUAAGCCAAUUCCUUCAUCAAAUCAUGCACUCACUUAAUGACCUUUUGUGCAUAUAACUAAGGUAUCAAAACAUGAUCAAAACCAACAUAAAUUGACCAAUUCAAUCGUUCAUAACCAUUCAACCAAUAUGCCAUACAAGGCACCUUAAUUGCAACGUUCAAACUUACCUAAACAUAUGUAUAUACUUGACCACAACUCAUUUAUAAACAUCUAGUUCAAUACCAUUUUCAAAACAUACCAUAGCUUGACCAUAUUGAGGUCAAUUCAUCACAAACCACUUUGGCCAUUCAAACAUGCAUUAACACAUUGCCAAAAUAACACAUAUUAGAAUGGCAUCUAUAAGUACCAAAAUGACACUAACCAACCAACAUCAAAUGGUACCAAAACAAGUUAUACAUGCCAAUAUCAUCAACUAGAUUUCAAUUAGAUACCAACCCAAGUCCACCUAUACAUGCCAUUAUAACCUUGACCAACACAUCAAAACUACUGAUAUAAUUUUUGGAUAGUGUGAUAGAUCUUCGAAGAGCUUUCGAUAAUCUAUAAAGUAAAAGAAAGUAAUUACGUAAGCAAUGAAUGCUUAGUAGGCUCAUAUAAACUUUAAUCAUACAUUCCAUUUCAAUAAUAAACUUUAUAGGGUAAAUAUAAACCUAUACCAAUUGCCAAAAGAUUUAUCAGACUAUAUAACCAUCAACUCACAAAUGAGUAAUUCCAUCAACAUCACAUAUAUUUUUCAUUCCUAACAUAAUAGGAUUUUAUAAGACAUAUUACACAAUCAUUAACCUUUUCAUAAGACUAUAAACCACUUCAUUUACUUACUUGCUAUUCUAUUUACUUUCUUUCAUUUCAUUUACUUGGCAUAAGCUUAAAUAACAUGAUCAAUUCAUGAAUUUGUGUAUUUAUCCAUGUCAUAGGUAAAUUCAUCCAUAGCAUAAGUAAAUUUCUCACAUAUAAGUACAUCAUUUAACUCAUCAAUCCUUUUAUAUCAUCAUAUUACAUUUCAAUUAUGAACUUACUGUUUCAUUACCUUUUCUUACCCAUUUCAUUUGCAUAAUAUAAGACAUAAGCAUACACAUCAACCAUAAGCUUGGCACAAGCCUAAGCACCAUCAACAACACAUAGUAGUGCAUCAACUCAUAAUUCACUUGAAUUAACAUAAAGUAAGUCAUUAUACAUGAACAACUUCAUUUGAAAUAAUCAUUUACAUGAACAUAGCUAUACUUUCACUGAACAUUUCCUUUUCAAUCCUUUUCAUAGAUUCAUGACAUAAGUCAUUUGGACACUUAUCAUUUAUUUCUUUUUCAUGCUCGUUGAACCAUUUAGAAUAACAUCAGAUACGCGAGAUCACACAAAGUGUGCUAAACAUAUAGUUGUAACCUUUCCUUUUCCUUUACAUCAUUGCUCACUCGAGCUGUGAAAUGGGUCUGCUCACACAACUGACGGUCAGAAUGUAAGCUACGCGAUGCUGCUCACACAAGCUGUUGAGUAUCCACAAUAAAUGCAGGACCUUAGCCAUCGGUAGGACAUUCAAGACCAACACCCAAAACAUGGUAACCCUAAAGACAUGUCAUUUGUAUCCUACGUAUUCCUAAGGUUCAAACGGGGCUCGAUAAUCAUCGAACAUCGUUGAACUUCCAUCAUUUAAUUACAUGAAAAAUAGCACAUGAAUAUAUAGAUCAAUAUAACAUUAAAACAUCAUUUAAGCAUACGAACUUACCUGGCUAAAUUGCAGCAAUGACUAAGUACAAAGGCUAUUUGGUAACUUUCUCUUCUCCUCAGUUUUCCACUUGUUCUUGAUCUAAAUUAAAAUUUUCAUUCAAUUCAUUAAUUUAGACAGAAAAACCAAUUCAUUUUAUGCAAUUUAUUCGUUUUUGAAAUUUUUACAAAAAUUUCCUCGAACAUUUUACUUUUAUUCAAUUUAGUCCUUGAGCCUAAAACAGGCAAAUUAACCAUUUUUACUCAAAUUUAAGCUCAAUCGAAUUUAUUGGGACCUUACUACAACUUAUAUUUGUUGUUAUUACACAUUAAAUCCUUGUACUUUUACUAUUUCAAUAAUUUAAUCCCUAAUCAUUAAAUUCAUCAAAAAUCACUUAACAAAAUACUUCAAAUUCAUCAUUUAACAUCUAAAAUCACAAAGAUUCAUCAAUGAAAACAUUCAAAAUCUUUAAAAGUCUCAAAAAUGAAGGUACGGGCUAGCUAGACCUAGUUGCAACGAUUUAACAAACAUAAAAUUAUUAGAAACGGGGCAAAAAGACCAUAUUAUGCAUGAAAUUUCACCAAGGCUGAAAACUUCCUUCCCAAUUCCAUGGUGUUUUCGGUUGUGUUUGAGAAAACUAAAAAGAUGAUAGCAUUUAGGCCAUUUUGUUUCUUUUAAUUACUUUAAUUAUGAAAUUACAAUUUUGUCCAUUUAAUAAUCAACCAAAUUUCAAGCUUUUAAUUACCCAAAACCGUCCACCAACAAUUCAAUUGGUAUAAUUACAAACUAAGUCCAACAAUUCACCUUUUCAUAGCUACUAGACACCUUUAAUUAAUAGAACUCAACUUUUGCACCUUUUUCAAUUUAGUCAUUUUCACCUAAUUAACCCUUUAAACAUCAAUUUUUUUAACGAAACUUUAAUACGGCCUUAAUAACACUCCAUAAAUAUUUAUAAAAAUAUUUACAGCUCGAUUUAUAGAAAUGAGGUCCUGAUACCUCAUUUUCUAAAACCACUAGACUGUAGGGUCAUACCACUUGAACCUAAUUAUUCUUCCAUUUAACACAAAUCAUUAAAUCAAAAUUUAUCAUUAUACUAUAUAUUAUUUGUAAAUAUUAAAUAAUAAUAUUUUCAUACUCACAGAUCAGAUUUGUGGCCCUGAAACCACUGUUCUGACACUUUAGAGAAAUGAGCUGUUACACUUUCAUUCACAAUUUACUAGUAUACCAGAUGGAUGUGAAGAUAACUUCCUCAAAUGGUGAUUUAGGCAAGGAGAUCUACAUGGAGCAACAUCCAAGAUUUGGGCACCUAGUAUGGAAGGUAAAGUUUGUAGACUCAAAAAAUCUUUAUAUGGUCUUAAACAAGCUCGAAAAAAAUGGUAUGAACAAUUUCAUAAAACUAUUCUGAGUUUUGGUUUUAUUGUCAAUGGUGUAGAUUGAUCGGCUAAAAACGUCACAGUAAUAAUGUGCAAGCGUACACUAUCGAUGCAAGUAUAGUAGACAGAUGUGAGUCUAUCAGAUAUCGAUCCUACAGGGAUGGUUGUCUUUUGUCUAUUAAUGUUGGUGCAAUAGCAAGCUAGAAACGAGAUAAAUUGUAACGAUAGUUGUCGGAGCAAUAUCUUGAAAACAAUCAAAUAAAAUAUGAUGAUGAUAAACUAGGAUCGCUAACAUGAAUCUUCAGCAGAAUACUAAAUGUUCACAAGGUAUAAAAGGAUAGGUGAUUAUCGAUACAAUAAAUUUCAAUGUAUAUCUUACCAAGUGUCACUCCUCUAAUUAGUCUGAGACUUAAAAAUGCACACUAACCCCACCUUCCGAUGGUGGCAAUAUGACACUAUUAAGAACAAGUAGACUAAAUUCCUCUAAUCCUCACUCAACUUCUGUUGUAAUGCUUGUUAGCUCGAACUGUCACUGCACCUUCCGGUGUCGAUGACUGCAAUAACACUUUCGUGCUAAAAAUAUUCAAACCCACAGAUUAAAUAGUUGAAACAAAAUUGUAUAAAAUAACAUUUAACCCAGAAAUCAUGUGUACUUCCAUACAAACAUGAAAUAAAGAGUACUCACCAGUGUUUAGAAAGAAAUGUAGAAGAAACAAGUGGAGAAUACUAUUCCUAGAAGAACUCGACUUAAAUCUCUCGAUUCCCUCUUGUGUCACACUUAGGACUCCUUGCCAGGAGUUGGUCUGCAUCAUUUUCACGUUGGCUCACCUAGGGGAGACUUAAGCCGCCAUGGCCGCAAGCUUCCCCCCAAGAUAGGUUAAGGAAGAUGAUGAUCAAGAAAAAACUCUCAUCUUUUUUUCUUUUCACGUCAAUAUUUAUACCCUUCCAAAUAGCACAGGUGUCCUUUCCUCAGAAUCAUGUUGUCCUUGUAAGUACAGGUUGGUUAUACCAAACUUGACAGCUCACGCAUUUUUGUUCUUAUCCAGACAGCUGUCAAAUGAGGCGACAACUCUGGACGCAAUCUGGAAUUACUAAUGCAGCGACAUUAGUACCAAAAUAUGACAAAAUUAAGGAUAAAAUAGGCUAGGAUCCAUUGAGUUAUAAAAUGCAAUUUACUAAACUGAAAAUGCUAAAAUAUGUGCUAAGGAUAACUAAAUGGGAACAAAUUAUCCAAUAAGUAGGGAGAAAACUUAUGUUCUUUCUCGUACUAUCACAUCCUCAAACUUGAGUUUUUACUUGUCUUUAAGUAAAUCAGAAACUAGCAAGGCUACAAAAAUUCACUAAGGCAAAUGAGCAUUCUAGCAACUAGAAUCACCUAAAAUCCCAAUGAAUGAAUAACAUUUAGAUGAAAUAAUAUUUUGCCUCGAAAAUACAUAAGCAUGAAUGAAUAAGUUUGCAACUUCAUCAAAGCCAGCAUCAUGCUUCAAAUCCUUAAUUUUAUCUACCUAUACAGCAUUUAUUGUACAAUACUAAGUAUUUAUAUCUCUUUUUUUUUUGAAUAAGGGAUACCGUUGCAUUACUGUACCCUUGUUCCUGAUAAGUAAUGAUGGAGUGCAACAAACCCCCAGAGAGCAUGUAAUUGCACCGACACACACUCAUGCAGCGGCAGCCUUUGGCCAGAUUCAUUUUUCUAACACUUGUAUAGGAGUGUUCCCUCUUUAACAUUCCACAAUGCACCCACUUUGGAGUGUCUCUUAUUUAUAAAUAUAUAUAUGUAAACAACUAUAAAAGGAAAAUUCAUUCAAGAUUCAAUGAAUGCUACUAGUCAUUCAUUACUAAUGCAACCUAAUUCAUUCAUCAAAGAAUUGAAGCUACAGCAUUCAGUCAAAUUUAUCCAACUUAUUCUCUGAUAAUUCACAUGAUCCAAGAAUUAAUCAUCUAAUGUAACAAAAAUUUUCAAACACAUUUGCAUUAACCAUAAUUAAACCUUGCAUGAUUCUUUACUGAAAAAAUAUUUUAAAAUAUGGGUGCAUUUCCAAACCCCAUAUGCAUUCCCCCAAACUUAAAGUGUGCAUUAUUCCCAAUGCACUAACUUGAAAAUGCAAUGACAAUAAAAAUACAAUGACAGUGUGUAGUUAACAAAAUAAAACUUACAGAUUCAUGAAAUGCAUGAAUACUAUAGCUAAAACUUAAAAUAAACUAACUCAGUUGUCCUCAACCGUCGAUUUGGUUGCACGAUGUUUCUUCCUUCUCAUUUUCUUCUCCUCCUUCUUUCGUUUUUUAUCCUUAGAGCAUAUUCUCUUCUUUUCUUUAAGCUCUGCACAGUUCUCAGAUUGCUCCUCAGUUUUUGGCUCUACCCCGGCAUCAUCAGCUACUUCCUGUGUAGGAGGGGUCACCUGGAGUGGUUUGGUCUACACCACAAUCGCCAAUGAGUUAUGGUGCUCCUCACUGGUUACCUCAGUAGCUUCUGCCGGUCUCGCUCUAUCUUGCUCCAAAUUAUCAAUAUUUGCACCUACAGACUCGGGUGCAGUGAAAAUGUUCACAACAGAGGCGUGAUGUCUUGUAUAGAGAUAUAAAGUUGGCAGGAAUAAUUGUGUCCAAUAGGAAUUGUGCCCGUUCAGAAGGAUCAAACGACUGGGUGAUUUUUGAUCCAACAGUGGAAUGUGAGUUGCCCUGAAUUCUAAUGAGUUAUAAAUUGUAGUACGAAAUUCAUUGACAAUAAAAACUUCAAUGCGUCGAAAAUGAUACCUAAUUAUUUUGCAAAAAGGAAGGAAAACAAACUUUAACAAAACAUAAAUAAAAUAAAAUAAAAUCACGGAGUAAUAAUUAAAAAUUAAAAUUUGUUCUCGAAGUCUCCACCGAACAGUUUUUUCAAUUUCUGGAUCAACAUCGACAAGAAAAAUCGAAUUGCUUCGGGUCAUAAAACACCUAAAAUGAAGUUGAAGAAAUAGCAACAAAGAAAAAACAAGUAAGUGACAACUAAAUAUUAUAUAAGAAAGACAAAGUGUAAAAACACACAAGAACAAAAAUAAACAUCAAACAAAUGCCAUCCCUGGCAAUGGCGCCAAAAACUUGAUCAGCUGAUAACAUCAUAGCAAUAGCACCAAAAACAAUGGUAUGAACAAUUUCAUAAAACUAUUCUAAGUUUUGGUUUUAUUGUCAAUGGUGUAGAUUGAUCGGCUGAUAGUGUCACAGUUAUAAUGUGCAAGCGUACACUAUCGAUGCAAGUAUAGUAGACAGAUGUGAGUCUAUCAGAUAUCGAUCCCAUAGGGAUGGUUGUCUUUUGUCUAUUAAUGUCGGUGCAAUAGCUAGCUAGAAACGAGAUAAAUUGUGAGGAUAGUUGUCGGAGCAAUAUCUUGAAAACAAUGAAAUAAAAUAUGAUGAUGAUAAAUUGGGAUCCUCAACACAAAUCUUCAGCAGAAUACUAAUUGUUCACAAGGUAUAAAAGGAUAGGUGAUUGUCGAUGCAAUAAAUUUCAAUGUAUAUCUUACCAAGCACCACUCCUCUAAUUAAUCUGAGACUUAAAAAUGCACACUAACCCCACCUUCCGAUGGUGGCAAUAUGACACUAUUAAGAACAAGUGACUAAAUUCCUCUAAUCCUUAUUCAACUUCUGUUGUAAUGCUUGUUAGCUCGAACUGUCACUGCACCUUCCAAUGUUAGUGAUUGCAAUAACACUUCCGUGAUAAAAACAUUUAAACCCACAGAUUAAACAAUAGAAACAAGAUUGAAUAAAAUAACAUUUAACCCAAAAAUCAUGUGUACUUCUAUACAAACAUGAAAUAGAGAGUAAUCACCAGCAUUUAGAAGAAAUGUAGAAGAAACAAGUGGAGAAUACUAUUCUUAGAGGAACUCGACUGAGUUAUAAAAUACAAUUUACUAAACUGAAAAUGCUAAAAUAUGUGCUAAGGAUAACUAAAUGGGAACAAAUUAACCAAUAAGUAGGGAGAAAACAUAUGUUCUUUCUAGUACUAUCAUAGAUGCAUGUGUGUAUUCUAAGAUGUUUCGUACUGAUUGUGCCAUCAUAAGUUUUCUUGUGGAUGACAUGUUAAUUUUCAGCACUAAUAUAGAAGUAGAUGUAAUAUUAGGGGUUAAGGUUACUAAAUCAGAAAAAGGGAUUUAUUUUAAAUCAAUCUCACUAUAUAGAGAAAGUGUUGAAGAAGUUUAGUAGAUUUGAUGUAACCCCUGUGAAAACUCCUCUUGACUCUAGCAUACAACUGAUAAAGAAUAAAGGAAAUAGUGUUUCUCAAUCAGAAUAUGAAAAAAUUAUUGGAAGCCUUAUGUUCUUGAUGAACUACACUCAGCAUGAUAUUGCUUAUGCAGUCAAUAGACUAAGUAGAUAUACCAACAAUCCUAACAAUAAGCAUUGUAGUGCUCUAAGACGUUUCCUUAAAUACCUUAAAGGUACUAUAACUUGAAAGUUGGAAUUUUUUGGAUACCUUGUUGUCCUAUAGGGAUAUUAUGAUGCAAAUUGGGUAAUUGCGAAUAAUGAAGUUAGCUCUACAAGUGGGUAUGUCUUUACUUUGGGUGGAGCAACUAUUUCUUAUAAGUCUGCUAAACAGACAUACAUUGCUUGUUGCAUGAUGAAAUCAAAGUUUAUAAUUCUAAACUUAGCUAGGCAAUAAGCGAGUGGCUUAGGAAUCUAUUUGCAGAGAUUCCUUUAUGGGAAAAAUUGACACCUCUCAUAUCUCUAUUAUAUGACUCACAAGUUGUAAUUUGUGUUGCAAAGAGUCAAGCUUAUAAUGGUAAGAAGAGACAUAUUCGAAUAAGGCAUGAAUUUGUGAGACAUUUAAUAAAGAAUAGAGUACUUUCUUUAGAGUACGUGAGGUCUGAAAAGAACCUAGUUGAUCCUAACCAAAGGUUUAAGUAGGAAAAUGGUUUUUGAUUCGUCGAGGAGGAUGGGUCUUAAGCAUAGUAGUUGAUGAAUUAAUGAUGGAUACCCAACUUAGUUAUUACUCUUAACGAAUUCAUAUCCUAGGGUUUGGGUGGUCUUAUUGAGACAGACUUGAUGAAUUCAACGACAUGCAAUGUUGAGUUUUUUACUCUUAAUGAGUUCAUAUCCCAAGAGUUUGGGUGGUCCUAUUGAGACAGACUUGAUGAAUUCACCGAAUUUAAAUUUGAGAGGUUGAGCUUAAUAAAUGCUCUUAAUGAUUUCAUAGUACUAAUUCAGGCAGUCUAUAUUGAGAUAGAGUUGAUUAAAUCACCUACGUAAGUGUAAAGAACUAACCACCUUCUAUGAAAUACAUUGGACAGUCUUUCUAGAGCACUUACCAGCAUCCCGAGGUGUACUGGCUAAAACUUCUUGAUCUAUCGCAAAACAUCAAUUGGAUCUAUGAUUAGUUGUGUGUCAUGAGUUAACCCCUAUCUUAAAAAGUUCAAGAUUUGUUCACUUGUUAAGGAGAAGGAUCACUCAUUCACUCUAUACUAGUUCAAAUCCAUAAGAUAAUAGUGCUUAAGCGGCUAAUUUUCUUAUUGUUCUUCUCACGUUUUAUCUUUUCUCAUGUUUACAAAAAGUUUUUCUAAUUCUUUUGCAUUAGCGAGGUAAUGUUGAUAAUGCAAAAGAAAAGGGCAGUCCCAUAUUAGUUAGGAAAAGGCUUCUAAAAGGAUUUAAAUAUAACCUUACAUCCUAUCUUCAUUGAGUAAUUGAGGAUAAGGCCCAACACUUACCUGACCCAUUUCUUAUCUUUUUUGGAUAAUUUUUUUGUUAUUCUUCUUUUAUGAAAAUUUUAUCAUUCAAGUUUCUAAACUAUUAUAAAUUUGACUUGAUCAGCCAAACUGUUGCGCUUUUCUAAGAAACUAGCUUCUGUUAUUGUGUUUUAUAGGAAACUGACUCUUCAGAUUUAUCGUUUUACCCCUUUCAAAUUUAUCGUUUUGCCUUUCAAAAAUUCUUAGAUAUAGUUGGCUCAUUCUCCUCGUUAAACACACAACAAUACAGAAUCCACUCAAUUUCCUGUAAAAGUUCAAGUUUUUUUUGGAAAAAAAUAAUAAUAUGAGUGACCAAAAUGAAAACCUAUUAAAGUUGGGUGAAUAAAAUGAGUGCUCAAUAACAUUUAAUUAAUUGGAUGAUCAAAAUGAAAAAUUAUUAAAGUAGGGUAACAAAAGUGAAAAUGGUUGUUAACGAAAAUGCCCAAUUUACAAUUUUUUAUUUUAUUUUCGGUGCUCAAAAUGAAAACUUCAAGUUGGGUGAUCUACUUUAUAGUUUACCCAAUGUUUAAACCUAAUAAUUUUGGUUCCCAUAUUGUAACAUUUGAUAGUAGGGUGGCAAAGUAAAAACUUAACUUUAGUUACGAUUUGUGUAGUUUUCCUAAAAAAACAAAGUUAUUCUUCUAAUGGGGUGUUUGGCUUACAUAAUGCAAUAUUAACUUUAGUAAUAAUAUUACUAUAAUAUAAGGUUACUUAGCACAUUGCCACAUAUGUUUCAUUACCUUAUUUGGUUCAUUUAGAUAGAAUGUUAGAUUUUUGUUGUUUGCUUGAUUGAAUAUAAAAUUAUUUAAAAGCACAUUUUAAUAAAUUGUCCUCGUAAAACUUGUUUUUUUUUCUAAUAAAUUUUGGCAUGCUUUUAUUACUUUACCAAAACCUAAAAAGACCAACAAAAUAAAUAGUCUCUUUGUCUUCCAAAAGAACAACCAAAACUAGCAAAAUUAAAAAUUCAUCUCCUUCCCUUGCAUGCCAGGCAAGAAAACCACUUCAAAUCCCUUCAUAGAUUUCAACGACAUGCUCUAGUUUGAAGUGACUCAAUGAAAGAACUUGCUCUUAUCCCCUGUUGCAACGCUGUUGUAACCCCCAAAACUCGACCUAGACAUUAUGACCAAACCUCAGAAGUCACAUUAAAACCAUUGGAAAACAUUUACUUGUUGAAGGUAGUUAGGUUUCAAUUUUUUUUGCGGAAACUCAAAAAAAUAAGAAUAUUAAUAUUAAGUAAUUUUUGAAAACAUUUAUUAAAAUUUGAAUGUUUCAUAUUUUAAUUACUAUAUUGAAAUACUGUCUUAUAUCAUUAAACCAUGAAUUUUUAAUAUUUUAAAUAUUUCUGAAAAAUAAUUUUUGGUAAAAACCUUUCACAGUGAACUUUCAAAAAUACUUAGAAAAUCACAAAUUUAUAAUAAUGUAUAAAACCAAGUAAAAUCAUAAAUAAUUUAAAUAAACUCAAUAAUUUAAAAUAUUUGAAAUCUCAUCAAGCAUGCAUGCAUAGCAGUUUAAAUUUGUAAAAUAAAAAAACAACCCAAUAAAAAUCUCCAAUGUCCAAAGUCCAAAAUAACAUCCCAAUAGUUUAUAAACUCAUUAAAAUCCAUCCAAGAGGUUCCACCGAAUGCCGAAUCCAAGUCCGAUGUCCGAGUAUUACUUUAAAGUUAAUGAAACUAAGGGAGUGAGCUUUUAAAGCCCGAUGUAAGCCUUUAAAAAAAUAAAAAUCAAUAAACAUAUAAUUAUCAUACAAAAUAAUCAAUUCUCUUUAUGCUCAUGAUCAUGGAAAUGCUAUUUUUAUGAAACAUUUAUGCAGAUUUAUUUUAAAAACAUACUAACCAUCACCACUACAAUCCAAAAUCGAGUUCCCAGAACUCAUCCAUCCAAACACUCCAAUUUCUAGGCAGGCCACUACUAAUGCAGACAAGCUGCCAGUAAUGUGGUCAAGCCACCAGUAAUGCAGAUAAACUGUUAGUUGUGUGGAGAAGCUGCCAGUAAAGUGGUCAAGCCACCAGUGACUCAAAUAAACUGCAAGUACUUUCUCCUUACAUAUGUCCCACCCUAUGCAUGUGAUAUGGCCACAAUAAUCAUAUUUUCACUUUGUUACAGAAUUUCAUUUUUAGGCAUAUGGAUCAUGCUCAUCCAAUCUUUUAAAUAGUAUCACAUAGGCAUGUUUUGACACGCAAUUUACACAUUAUCGAUAUAUCAAAACAUCAUGUUUUAAUAGUCAUAUACAACAUUUAUGCCAUAAUGUCACAUAACAUAAGAAUAGGAACAACAUGCUUUUUAAAUCAAUAUUAAACAUAACCACACAACAAACUUUCACAAAAUGGUUGGUUCAAAAACACUAACUUGUAUAGUCCGUUUUGACAGAUUUAAUCUCCCAUUUUAGAAUACUUAAAUUAUUUGUAUAAAACAUAAAUCAAGCAAUAAUAUUUUAUUUAAUCAUUUUUAACAAUAUUCGUAUAAAACAUAAAUCAAGCAAUUUAAUCUCUCAUUUUAGAAUACUUAAAGUAUUCGUAUAGCGAGGACCUGACGGAGGAGGAGGGGAGAAGGGUGUUGCGGCACUAGGGAAAACAAGGAGAGAAUGAAAAGGGAAAAAGAAAUAAAGAAAAAGAAGAGAGAGAAAGAGAGUUAUUUUCGAUGGUGGUGGCCACGGUGGUGCUAAGACGGCGAUAGAGAAUCACAAAGGAGAGGAGCGGCAAUAAAGGGGAGAUCCGAUGAUUGUUCAAUUGGAAAAGGAGCGGUGGAGGAGAGGAGGAAAAAUAGUGCAAAGGUGGUUGAUGGCUAAAACAAAAGAAGAAUCAUUGAGAGAAAGGGAGGAGCUAGAGAGAGUGACAGCAAUAGGGGGAAGAGUGUAAUGAAAAAUGAUUCAAUAUGUGAAUUGUGUUUGUCUAGGUACAGUGAAUCAAUUCAUAUGGCAAGGAUGGAGUAAAGGGCAUGUUGAGGGGACAAAGGAGAAAAAAUGGGAGGCAUGUUGGCUUGAAAAGAAAUGAAAGAAUAUUCCUCAUGAAUGGUAAGUGAGUUGGACGGCAAUGGAGGUGUUGACAUGCUAAUGUUGGCAAAAAAAAUUAAUAGAAAGUUUGUGAAUGUAGAGACUUGAACCUAGGACCCUUAGGAAAUUUUUUGAGCUACUAACCUCUAAGUCAUUUAAUUUUUUGUUCACACUUCUACCACAAUUAUUUUAAAAACAUGGUGUGACCUUCGCUAAGGUUGGAAGCAAAAUUGCACCACAUAGAAAAUAAUAAGAGGGAAGGGAUUCAAACACUGAUCAUCAAGGACAACUCCACCACUAUUUAAUCACUAUACUUGAUACUAAUUUAUUAACAAAAGAAUGAAAGGUAAUCUAAAAAAAAUCCAGUGUGACCACUCUCGGUUCAUUAACCCAAUUUCUAGUAACACGAUUUUGAGAUGUGACAUCUGUCUCCAUUUCUAUUGUGACCAUUAUGUGGCUCUAGACAGUCCACUUUCCUUGAUCGCCACUAUCUCCUAAAUCAUCGUCGACCCCUCCUCAACCCAUUGAACGUCCCUUUUCCGAAUGAAGCCCUCCUUCACUAAUAGGUGAGCCACCCUAUUACCACCCCUUUCGAUAUUUUGGAAUUUGAAACUUUCAAAACCCAUUACAAUAUGUUUAGCUUUCCAAAUGUAAUUACUAACCUUUAAUCUGUCUAACCCUUGCAUCCUGAGCUUUGAGAAAAUCACAAGUGGGUCUCCUUCAACCUCGACCUUGUGAAACCCGAUCUCUUGGGAAAAUCAAACGGCCUGAAUGCCUGCCAAAGCUUCAGUUACCUUGGAAGAUGGUAUGUUUCUAUUCCAAUUACAUGCCCCCCAUCAUCAAACCUAAGGUGUCCCUAAUGAUCAUUCUUGAACUUGAUGCUUCUAGGUCACUAUAGAAACCCCCAUCGAAGUUAACCUUAACCCAUGGAUCUGUUGGAGGCUACCAUCUCUCUAUUUCAUUAAUCACACUUCUCGGGUAAGAAUCCUCCAACAUUUCCAAUUCUCUGAUGUACCCCAUUAUGAAUGUGUUAGAGUAUGCCCAAAGGCAAUGUCAUUGUUAUUUUAGUUUCUUUAUCUGUGUAUAUAGAUAAACUAAUCAAUAAUAAAGUCCUAAGAAUAAUAUGAUUAUUCUUAAAAGUUUCUUAGUCAAGUAUUAUUGUGGGCUUGGAUAAUAAUAAUGCAUUGAGACUAAUGUGUAGUUGAUUGAUAAUAAAGUGUUGUCAUUGACAUAGGAUGUCAAAAUCAAUACAUGAGUAUGUGUCAGGGAACAACAUACUAGACUAACCCGCCAUAAGCAUUUUUCUUGGAUUAUUAUGUAAUAGUCACAGACAAUACUCAUAGUGAUAUUAUGUAUAUGAUCCUCCGACUUGAGAUCAUCAUUGUCCCAAUAUCAUGAGUUGUAUAUUUUGAUAUAGUUAAACGUCUACUAUAACAGGUUAAACUAUAAAGACUGAUGUUGGAUAUACCACAAUCCAUGUAGUGGGAUAUGAUUGAUCAAGAUAAGAUUUAUCCUUCCUACAUAAUGGGAGUAAUAUCUUGGGUCACUUGAUGAAGUAAGACUAGAAAUGCAUGGCCAUGCUCAAGUAAGUUGAUAUGAGAUAUCACGCUUAUUUGUUUAACAUAGUCUACUUAGAUUAUCAAGAAAUAUGGGAUUGGACUAUCUACGUGUGACUAUACCAUGACUUGUGUCCAAUCUAGAUAUAAAGGAUAAAAUGAUAUAAUACAUGAAAUGUUUAUCACAAAAAGGUUAUGUCAAAUCACGGCUUCUUAUAACUUGUAUAGGAAUGAUGCAUUGCUAGAUGUCACUCAUUGCUUGUAACAUUAGAAAUGAUCUAGUAUUACUACCAGCAUUACAAGAACCUACAGGGUCACACCCUAUGGUUAAAGCGAACAAAAUCAUAAUUUCAAUAAGAACCUACAGGGUCGCACCCUAUGGUUAAAGCGAACAAUAUCAUAAUUUCAAUAAUUUGAUUACAAAUGUUUUACAAAUCAUGUCAAAGAUCAAUCAAACACAAGCAUAUUGUCCCUUAUUCGAGGCCUUAGAAUGACUUUAGGAACAAUUCAGGACUAAAUCAAAAAUAAUUAGAAAGUUUAUGAAAAAGUAAAAAAAUUUGAACUGUAGGGAUCACACGGCCGUGUUCCAGCCCGUGCCCGUGCCCAUGUAACUCACUAAAUUGUGUCACACGACAAAGCCACACGCCCGUGUGCUAGGCCGUGUAACUCUCGAAAUGCAACCUUUAAAAACCUACAGGGGACACACACCCGUGUCUCAUGGCCGUGUGUCACACACAACUAAGACACACGUCCGUGUCUUAGGACGUGUGGACAAGAAAUAGGUUAAAUUCAAACCAUUUCUUUCACCCAAUUGAAUCACACCCUUACAAGCCAUUUGCACAUAUGACCAAGGUAUUAAAACAUGUUCAACAUGUAUAAAAUGACCAAUUUCCAUUCAACCAAUAAGUCAUAAAGGCACCUCAAACAAAUACAUUAAACAUACCUAAACAUGUGCAAAUUUAACCAUUUAUCAAUUAACUUGUUUCCAUAUCAAAACAUAUCAAAAUGACCUUACCAAUUGAACCACUUCUCACAUGCAUCAUAACAAUUUAAAUGUCAUCAAUCUAGCCAUUUCCAAAUAGUUCCAACAACCAACAUAUAUACAUACCAAAUUUAUGACGAAACGAUCAUAGUUCAACCAAACAUACUUGACUAAAUUUCAUAUCAAAACAUGCCUUAAAUGAACACUUUGCAAACAUGCCAAUACUUACCACUUUGGCCAUAAACCAUGCAUCAAUUUGAUCUUGUAAACACCAACCAUUAAGCAUCAAAGUACCAAAAGCACACCAAACAUCACAUCAAAAUUACAUAGGUUUCACAAAUUCAAAGCAACAUUACAUGCCAAUAUCACUAACUAAACAUUCAACAUAAGUCUACCUAUGCGUGCCAUUAUAACCACGACCAAAGCAUCAAAAUCUACCGAUAAAAUCGAUGGAUAGUGUGAUAGAUUUUCGACUAGCUUCCAGCUUGAUCGAGCUUUCGGUAAUCUAUAAAGUAAGAAAAAGAUAAUCAUAUAAGCAAUGAAUGCUUAGUAAGCUUCUAUAAACUUUAAACAUAACAUGCCAUUUUAAUAAUGAACUUUAUGGGGUAAUUAUAAACCUAAACCAAUUCCAGAAAGUUUAUCAAACUUUAUAACAUCAACUCAUAAAUGAGUAAAUUCACCAAUAUCACAUAUAUCUUUCAUUCCUAUCAUAAUAGGAUUUGUAAAACAUAUUACUCAAUCAUUAAAAUUUUCAUAAUAUUAAGAACCACUCCAUUUACUUUCUUACCAUUCCAUUUACUUACUUUCCAUUUCAUUUACUUAACAUAAACUUAAUUAACAAUAUCAAUUCACUAAUUAGUAUAUAUAUUUUUUCACGAACUAAAUAAAUUCAUCCAUAGCAUACGUAAGUUUCUCACAUAUAAUUACAUCAUUCAACUCAUCAAUCCCUUUUUCAUCAUUUCACAUAUCAACUCUGAACUUACCUUUUCUUACCUGUUUCAUUUACAUAAUACAAGAUAUAAGCAUAAACAACACCUACACGAUAAACCAUUUUAUUAGAAAAUACAUACUUUUAUUCUUACCACCCUUUCAUGAACGUAAGCAUAUUUCUAUUUAGAAACUUACCAUUUCAUUGCAUAACUUUAAAAGUAAACAUAAUACAAUCCAACCAAUAGCUUGGCACAAGCCUAAGCAUCAUCAACAACACAUGUUAGUGCAUCAAUUCAUAAUUCACUUGAAUUAACAUGAGAUAAGUAAUUAAACAUGAAUAACCUCACUUGAAAUCAUCAAUUUCAUGAAUAUAGACAUACCUUCAUUUAACAUUUUCUUUUUAUUCCUUUUUCAUAGUUUUCAUGAUAUAAAUCAUUUGAAUACUCAAAUGAACAGCAAAUUCAUCAAAUUCAUUAAACAAAUUACCUUACCAGAAUUUCAAUUCGAAGAACGACUUAAGGGUAAAAGUAUAUCGUCAGAUCAACCGAACACACCAGACAAAAGCUCAUAAGAGCUAAUCCAACCGAAACACACCAGACAGAAGCUCAUAAGAGCUAAUCCAACUGAAACACGCCAUACAGAAGCUCAUAAUAGCUAAUCCAACUGAAACACACCAAACAGAAGCCCAUAAGAGCUAAUUUAACCGAAACAAGCCAAACAGUAGCUCAUAAGAGCUAAUCCAACCGAAACACACCAGACAGAAUCUCAUAGAGCUAAUCCAAUCGAAACAUGCCAGACAGAAGCUCAUAAAAGCUAAUCCAAUCAAAACACGCCAGUUAGAGAGUAUAACACGAGAGUUCGCAAAAAAUACUGAACCUCACUUUACUCGAGUAAUAUCCAGAUAUCUACCUCCAAUACCAUCUCCACUCCAAGCCCUCGUAACACACACCAAAUCACGAUUGUACUCUAUCCCGCGUUCAAUCCAAACGAAGCAUCAAAUUCAAUAAUAUAUCUCAAUUUAACAUUCAUUAUCAAUAAUUAAAAAUAAAUAUAUAAGUUGCUCCAUGAUAAUCUACUCAAAAAUUCAUAUUGAUAUUAAAUUCUAAACCGUAUGAACUUACUUGGCUAAAUUGCAUAAAUGUCAAAGUAUAAGGGCAAUUCGGUAAUUUCUAUUCUUCUCGAAUUUUCGCUCGAUCUUGAUCUAAAUUAAUAAUUUCAUUCAAUUUAUUAAUUCAGAUAAUAAAACAAUUUAUUUUAUGAAAUUUAGUCAUUUUUUUACAUUUUUACCAAAUUGCCUCUAACAUUUUACAUUUAUUCAAUUUAGUCCAUGAGCCUAAAACAUGAAAAUUAACCAUUUUUAUUGCAAAUUAAUAUCAUCUGAAUAUUCAUGGCACCCAAAACAGCCCACAUUUGUAAUAAUUUCACAUCAAAUACUUGUAUUUUUACUAUUUCCACAAUUUAGUCCCUAAUUAAUAAAUUCAUCAAAAAUCACUUAAAAUAUUUUUAAAUAAAAAUAAUAUUUUAAACUCAUCAUUUAACAUAAAAAAAUUACUAGAUUCAUCAAUGGCAACAUUCAAAAUCUUUAACAGUUUCAAAAUCAAAGGUACAGGUUAGUUGAACCUAGUUGCAACGAUCUCAAAAAUAUUAAAAUUAUUUGAAACUGGGCUAAAACGAACUUACAUGCAUCAUCCAAAGCAAGGCCGAAGCUUGAGUAUUCUUUCAUGGAGGUUCGAUGAUGAACCAAGCAAAAUGAGGAAGAAAACAUUAGGUUUUCUUUAUAUUUUAAACAUUUUUAUUUAUUUUAUUAACAAAAUAAUAUAUAUAACCUUAAAAUUAAAAGAAAUUAAAACAUCCACCGUCCCACUAUUUUAAGGAUGGUUUAAUUAUCCAUUAAGGACAUCCAAUUAUAAUUCUUCAAUGAAUUAACAUCUUUAAGCUAAUAGCGAUUGACUUUUUUAACUUUUACGAUUUAGUCCUUUUUGCUUAAUUAACUAUCGAAACAUUAAAAUUUCUUAACGAAACUUUAAUACCACCUUAAUGACACUCCGUAACUUUUUAUAAAAAUAUUUAUGGCUCAAUUUAUAGAAAUGAGGUCUCAAUACCUCAUUUUCUAAAACAACUUGACUUUAAGGUCUUACCACUUGAACUUAAAUUAAUCAUUCAAAUAGCAUAAAUGAUCAUAUCAAAAACCUUUUAAAAACCAUAAUUGAC
RNAcentral lists this long non-coding RNA (26997 nucleotides) under Gossypium barbadense (sea-island cotton). RNAcentral describes it as "long non-coding RNA (GBAR_LNC015482)". Lineage: Eukaryota; Viridiplantae; Streptophyta; Magnoliopsida; Malvales; Malvaceae. The record is from RNAcentral.